RNAcentral lists this ribosomal RNA (253 nucleotides) under uncultured bacterium. Its description in RNAcentral is "partial 16S ribosomal RNA". It matches the Rfam family "Bacterial small subunit ribosomal RNA", at positions 524 to 776 of the family's 1533-position model. The record is from RNAcentral.
UACGAAGGGGGCUAGCGUUGUUCGGAAUUACUGGGCGUAAAGCGCGCGCAGGCGGUCUUCCAAGUCAGUGGUGAAAGCCCGGAGCUCAACUCCGGAACUGCCAUUGAAACUGUUGGACUUGAGUACGAGAGAGGUGAGUGGAAUUCCCAGUGUAGAGGUGAAAUUCGUAGAUAUUCGCAAGAACACCAGUGGCGAAGGCGGCUCACUGGCUCGAUACUGACGCUGAGGUGCGAAAGCGUGGGGAGCAAACAGG